AUUGAACGCUGGCGGCAUGCUUUACACAUGCAAGUCGAACGGUAACAGGGAGCUUGCUCCGCUGACGAGUGGCGAACGGGUGAGUAAUGCAUCGGAACAUGCCCAGUCAUGGGGGAUAACUACGCGAAAGCGUAGCUAAUACCGCAUACGCCCUGAGGGGGGAAAGUGGGGGGAUCUUAGGACCUCACGUGAUUGGAGUGGCCGAUGUCAGAUUAGCUAGUUGGUGAGGUAAAGGCUCACCAAGGCGACGAUCUGUAGCGGGUCUGAGAGGAUGAUCCGCCACACUGGGACUGAGACACGGCCCAGACUCCUACGGGAGGCAGCAGUGGGGAAUAUUGGACAAUGGGCGAAAGCCUGAUCCAGCAAUGCCGCGUGUGUGAAGAAGGCCUGAGGGUUGUAAAGCACUUUCAAUCGUGAAGAAAAGUUGCAGGCUAAUACCCUGUGACCUUGACGUUAACGAUACAAGAAGCACCGGCUAACC
This 481-nucleotide ribosomal RNA is filed under the name uncultured bacterium. RNAcentral describes it as "bacterial SSU rRNA". It matches the Rfam family "Bacterial small subunit ribosomal RNA", at positions 30 to 502 of the family's 1533-position model. The record is from RNAcentral.